RNAcentral lists this long non-coding RNA (2237 nucleotides) under Brassica napus (rape). RNAcentral describes it as "long non-coding RNA (BNAP_LNC017991)". Lineage: Eukaryota; Viridiplantae; Streptophyta; Magnoliopsida; Brassicales; Brassicaceae. The record is from RNAcentral.
CCUUUGAAACGGGCGGUGGAUACCGAAAUUGCAAUUCCAGAAAACCAUCAUCUUUCCACCACCGUAACCCGUCAGUUUAACAUAAGAACCAUAACCAUCAAGAGGACUAGGCAACUUAGGUAGGGCUACCAAACCGUUCAAAUCUCUCCAGCUUGUCUUGUCGGAGUCAUACCAUGUCAGAGCUCCGUCUUCAGAAACAGAGUAGAGAACAUUAUCAACCUCGCAGAAAGAACCUGAGCACAUAAUACCCGUGCUUGGAUAUUGUUCAACCAGGUCCCAUCUACAUUGCUUUGAAUCGAAAGCAAACAACCCAUCGAAUAAAGUCACCACAUGGAGCUUUCCGUCGAUAAGAUAAUUGAUUCUGGCGCUAUCAAAACCACCACAGGAAGGGAGAUCCCAAGUUUGGGUGUUUGUGUUGAAUACCUCGAAGGAGCUCUUCCAGGAACCAUCAUCUUGAUGGAAGCGUCGUCCGAGUACAUAUAUCUUGCGAUCAAGGAACCUGGCAGAAAGUUCAGUUAGCUCCACUGGCAUGCGUGGAGGAGACUUACGCCACCUGUGAGUCUUGCAAUCAAGAAUCGAGACCCCAGAGGUGGGCAUGGUUUUAUUUUUAUCUGCUACGCCAAUGUUGUAGAUAUCAGAACCAACCGCCACAAGAUCUGAAUAACACAAACCCAUCAUACGAGGAGAAUCAUCAUCGAGCAUUAAGACUCUAGCCAAAACGUAGCCGCCGCCGCCACUACUCUUCUUGGAGAGGGUGUACCACUUAUAACAACUAAACCCGAACCUCAAGCAAACAUAGAGACAAGUCUCCGUGAGGCCCAAGAGUGACCUAACCUUGUAAAGCUCAGGUGAAACCACCAUAGAUCGGAAGCUCUUGGAGACUAGUGACAAAGUCCGAUAGUACGAUCUUGGAACCCGUGCCACGAUCAUCACUAGCAAAUCAUAGGCAAGUGACGACGAUGAUGUGAGCUUCUUCUUCUUCUUCUCCCUAAUACUCGUCGUCGUUGUCUUCCUCUUCCUCGUCGUCGAUACGGAAUCGCCCUUGAUCAACCUCUCCAUUUCGGCUCCUAUUUAGGGGUUGGCGCCGAAACUGCGACCUCCUUCUUCUUCUUCUUCUUCUCGCCUGUUGGUUUGAUUUUUUCAAAGCUGCUGUGUCUACUACUAUUUUGGGUAUGGGUCUUUUGUAUUGGGCUUUAUUAAGCCCACUACCUCUCACUACAAUUUAAAUGCGGAUUUUGGGUUAUAGCAUUUCGUUUUGGGUAUGGGGUCUUUUCUAUUGGGCUUUGUUAAGCACACUAUUUUGGGUAUAGCAUUUCGUUUUUACAAAAGAUGUCUGAAAUUUUAGAAUUUUGGAUCUUUCUACAAUACUAAACCAUUUUAGACUUAAAGCUUCUAUCUUUUACUCUAAACCAAUAAUUUUACAAACAUUUAUAACUAGAUGAUACAUUAUUAAUUCAAGUACCGUUAAAUACAAACAAAACAAAUUGGGGGAGUACCAUUUAAUUUGAGAUUGAAAACAAAAGCUCACCUGAGGCUGAGCAGUAUCUGUUCAUUUGCGAUCACACUUACAUAGCUCUGAUCUGUCCUUCAUAUCUGGCGCAACGUUUCAACGGUAACAUAGUACUUGAGAAGUCCUCUCCAGUUCUCCAAAUUGUGAUUUCAAUAUAUAGUAAGCACGAUUUGAUUUUGAUAAUAUAUGCCUAAUGUGAUGCUUAUUUUUAGCGAUUAUGUGACCCAAAUGAUGAUUUUGGUGUGUGUUGAUUUGGUGUUCUCUUCAGAACCAUGGCUGGUAACACGGAGGGAGAGAAGUUCUACCGGAUAAAUUGGAAGAUGCCAGGCAAAGCUCUAGCGGUAUGGUCUCUGUCUCUUGUUUUUGUAGAAGUCCGGAACUGGGUUUCCACAGGGACUAAAAGCAUAGUAUCAAACCACUCAAGUUUGCCCCAACAAUCUCCAUUGCGUCUUUCAAGGGCUAUCUCGGCACAAUAUAUGGUAUCCCUUUGAAACGGGCGGUGGAUACCGAAAUUGCAAUUCCAGAAAACCAUCAUCUUUCCACCACCGUAACCCGUCAGUUUAACAUAAGAACCAUAACCAUCAAGAGGACUAGGCAACUUAGGUAGGGCUACCAAACCGUUCAAAUCUCUCCAGCUUGUCUUGUCGGAGUCAUACCAUGUCAGAGCUCCGUCUUCAGAAACAGAGUAGAGAACAUUAUCAACCUCGCAGAAAGAACCUGAGCACAU